Vicia faba (fava bean) is the source of this 297-nucleotide non-coding RNA. The record is from the annotation of a GenBank genome assembly. NCBI's taxonomy places the organism in Eukaryota, Viridiplantae, Streptophyta, Magnoliopsida, Fabales, Fabaceae.
AUGCAAUUAAGCAGCACUGCGUUAUCACUGCGUAGUACUCAUCAUUCAAAGACAUGCAACGGUUCCAUAGGUGAAUGCAAUGAAGUAGGUGAAGAAUUGAUGGAGUCAGAAAUAAGCAGAAGGCUUUUGGAACAAAGAAGAUACAUUUCUGAAGGAGCUCUAAAGAGAGAUAAACCAGUUUGUAAUGGCGGUGCAGGUGGUGAAGCUUAUAGUAGAUCUGAAGGGUGUAUUCCUCCACCUUCAAAUCCUUAUAAUAGAGGAUGUUCUAAGUAUUAUCGUUGUAGGUCUGAUUCUUGA